UUCCGGUUGAUCCUGCCGGACCCCACUGCUAUCGAGGUGGGACUAAGCCAUGCUAGUCGAACGCACAGAACUAUGUCUGUGAGUGGCAUACUGCUCAGUAACACGUAGCUAACCUACCCUUCGGACGAGGACAACCCCGAGAAAUUGGGGCUAAUCCACGAUAGAUGUGAUGUCCUGGAAUGGUAUUACGUCCAAAAGUAUAUCAUACAUGUUUGAUUUACGCCUAAGGAUGGGGCUGCGGCUGAUCAGGCAGUUGGUGAGGUAAUGGCUCACCAAACCAUUGACCAGUACGGGCCAUGAGAGUGGUAGCCCGGAGAUGGACACUGAGACAAGGGUCCAGGCCCUACGGGGCGCAGCAGGCGCGAAACCUCCUCAAUGCACUAACGUGCGAAGGGGUUACCUCGAGUGCUAUCUGAAGAAGGUGGCUUUUCCAUGGUCUAAAAAGCCUAGGGAAUAAGAGGGGGGCAAGACUGGUGUCAGCCGCCGCGGUAACACCAGCCCCUCGAGUGGUGGGGAUGAUUAUUUGGCCUAAAGCGUCCGUAGCCGGCCGGAUAAGUUUCCCGUUAAAUCCAAUGUCUCAAGCGUUGGACUGCGGGAAAUACUGUCUGGCUAGAGAGGGGGAGAGGUCAGCGGUAUUCUGGGGGUAGGGGCGUAAUCCUUUGAUCCCCGGAGGACCACCAGUGGCGAAGGCUGCUGACUAGAACACGUCUGACGGUCAGGGACGAAAGCUGGGGUAGCGAACCGGAUUAGAUACCCGGGUAGUCCCAGCCGUAAACGAUGCAUGCUAGGUGUUGGGUUGGCCACGAGCCACCCCAGUGCCGCAGGGAAGCCGUUAAGCAUGCCGCCUGGGAAGUACGGUCGCAAGAUUGAAACUUAAAGGAAUUGGCGGGGGAGCACCACCAGGCGUGAAGCCUGCGGUUUAAUUGGAGUCAACGCCGGG
This 940-nucleotide ribosomal RNA is filed under the name uncultured archaeon. Its description in RNAcentral is "bacterial SSU rRNA". It matches the Rfam family "Archaeal small subunit ribosomal RNA", at positions 1 to 922 of the family's 1478-position model. The record is from RNAcentral.